This is a long non-coding RNA of Vombatus ursinus (common wombat), 275 nucleotides long. RefSeq lists it as uncharacterized. The transcript has 3 exons. NCBI's taxonomy places the organism in Eukaryota, Metazoa, Chordata, Mammalia, Diprotodontia, Vombatidae. The record is from RefSeq and is a predicted model, not a curated record.
AGUAAGAAAAGAUGAAGGCCCUAAUCCUGAUUACGGUUGUCUUGACCAUAACUGCUUGCUUCUCUCCAGCUGAAGGACGUAAGAGGAGACACCAUGGAAAACACCAUGAUGACACACACAAUCCAGGACGUGGCGAUCCUUUCAGAGGGCCUAGAGGACCAUGGGGUCCCAGAGGACCACACGGUCCUGGAGGACGUCCUGGUCCAACUCCUCCAGGUGGUUUUUUUGGGACACCAGGUUCACCUGAUGCACAUGAAAGAGAUGGGCAAGGACUG